This 510-nucleotide ribosomal RNA is filed under the name uncultured bacterium. RNAcentral describes it as "bacterial SSU rRNA". It matches the Rfam family "Bacterial small subunit ribosomal RNA", at positions 774 to 1283 of the family's 1533-position model. The record is from RNAcentral.
AGUGAAUAGAUACCCUGGUAGUCCUGGCAGUAAACGUUGCUCAUUAGGUGUAGGCGGAUUCGACCCCGUCUGUGCCGAAACCUAAACGGAUUAAAUGAGCCGCCUGGGGAGUACGGUCGCAAGAUUAAAACUCAAAGAAAUUGACGGGGGCCCGGCACAAGCGGUGGAGUAUGUGGCUUAAAUUCGAUGCAACGCGAAGAACCUUACCUGGCCUUGACAUGCAUUGUUCAUCCGGUGAAAGCCGGUGUCCCGCAAGGGAGAAUUGCACAGGUGCUGCAUGGCUGUCGUCAGCUCGUGUCGUGAGAUGUUGGGUUAAAGUCCCGCAACGAGCGCAACCCCUGUGGCUAGUUACACGUCGCAAGACUUUCUAGCCAGACUGCCCUGUUCAACGGGGAGGAAGUGGGGAUGACGUCAAGUCAGUAUGGCCCUUACGGCCAGGGCUGCACACGUGCUACAAUGCCCAAUACAGAAGGACGCAAGACCGCAAGGUGGAGCCAAUCCUCAAAACUU